This 292-nucleotide ribosomal RNA is filed under the name uncultured bacterium. RNAcentral describes it as "partial 16S ribosomal RNA". It matches the Rfam family "Bacterial small subunit ribosomal RNA", at positions 773 to 1060 of the family's 1533-position model. The record is from RNAcentral.
GUGGAUUAGAUACCCUGGUAGUCCUAGCCCUAAACGGUGCGCAUUUGCUGUAGGAGGAAUCGACCCCUUCUGUGGCGAAGCUAACGCGAUAAAUGCGCCGCCUGGGGAGUACGGUCGCAAGAUUAAAACUCAAAGAAAUUGACGGGGGCCUGCACAAGCGGUGGAGUAUGUGGCUUAAUUCGAUGCAACGCGAAGAACCUUACCUGGCCUUGACAUGCAUUUGGUAGAACCAUGAAAGUGGGACGACCCCGCAAGGGGAGGAUGCACAGGUGCUGCACGGCCGUCGUCAGCU